UGGAGUGAGCCGAUUAUGAUCGGAUGGCUCAGAUCAUUCUGAGGUUGAUUAGAAGCUUGGGGACACCAGAUUGUGUGAUUAGAUAGCCACAAUUUGAGCCGAUCAUGAUCGAACGGUUAGAAGUGAUUCUAAGGUUUGAUUUAGACUCAGUCUCCUAGUGAAACACUGUUUUGGAGUUUUUGGAGGUUAUAAAACUCUGAUUGACGAUCUAUUUAUUGUGUUAGAUAGCUGGUGACAUCCUGAUCAUACAGAGAGGCUUCUUGAAAGAUUUUAGAGAACUUUUAUGAGAAUUUUGAGAUUUUUUGUUGAG
RNAcentral lists this long non-coding RNA (310 nucleotides) under Elaeis guineensis (African oil palm). RNAcentral's name for it is "long non-coding RNA (EGUI_LNC009782)". Lineage: Eukaryota; Viridiplantae; Streptophyta; Magnoliopsida; Arecales; Arecaceae. The record is from RNAcentral.